RNAcentral lists this ribosomal RNA (253 nucleotides) under uncultured bacterium. Its description in RNAcentral is "partial 16S ribosomal RNA". It matches the Rfam family "Bacterial small subunit ribosomal RNA", at positions 524 to 776 of the family's 1533-position model. The record is from RNAcentral.
UACGUAGGCAGCAAGCGUUGUUCGGAGUUACUGGGCGUAAAGGGUGUGUAGGCGGUUGGAUAAGUGUGGUGUGAAAUCUCCCGGCUCAACUGGGAGGGUGCGCUACAAACUGUCUGACUAGAGUGCGGGAUGGGAAAGUGGAAUUCCUGGUGUAGCGGUGAAAUGCGUAGAUAUCAGGAGGAACACCGGUGGUGUAGACGGCUUUCUGGACCGUAACUGACGCUGAGACACGAAAGCGUGGGUAGCAAACAGG